This 613-nucleotide long non-coding RNA is filed under the name Homo sapiens (human). Its description in RNAcentral is "non-protein coding lnc-C4orf33-7:1". Lineage: Eukaryota; Metazoa; Chordata; Mammalia; Primates; Hominidae. The record is from RNAcentral.
AUGGAAUGGAGUGACAAGAAGGAGGUGACAAUGCUGUCAUCACUGCACAAUAAUACUUUGAUUGAAGUAGACAACAGAAAUGGAAGGAAAACUAAGGAGCCAUGUCUCAUUGUGUAUUAUAACGAGAAUCUGGGAGCACUGGACUCGGCUGAGCAGAUGCUCACUUCUUAUGCACCUGAACACAAAAGGCACAAGGUUUAGUAGAAGAAAUUAUUUCACCACCUUCUAAACAUUACAGUUCUGAACUCCUACAUCCUAUUCAAGAAGGACAAUCCUGAGCACAUGAUUAGCCAUGUAAACUUCAGACUGCCAUUGAUGGAAAGAGUGCUAGAAAAGCACCACAAGCCAGGGCAGCAAUGUCUUCCAGGGUGUCUGUGCUCUGAUGAUGCCACACCUCUUCACUUGCCUGGAAGACAUUUCCCCAAGAGCACACCACCAACAUCAGGGAAACAGAAUCCAACUGGUCAUUCCAAAGUUUGCUGCUUUCACAACAACAAGGAUCACAACAAGAUCCGGAGAGAAACGUGAUAUUUUUUGUCGGAAUGUUGUGAUGUUCCUGUUUGUGUUGUUCCUUGCUUUGAAAGUUUAACACACACAAAAGAAAUUUCAAUAC